This is a long non-coding RNA of Spea bombifrons (plains spadefoot toad), 387 nucleotides long. RefSeq lists it as uncharacterized. The transcript is spliced from 2 exons. Lineage: Eukaryota; Metazoa; Chordata; Amphibia; Anura; Pelobatidae. The record is from RefSeq and is a predicted model, not a curated record.
UCGAUAUGAAAAUGGGUCCUGGCAUUGUAACAUCAGCGGCUGAUAAAUCAAGGGAUACGUGAGGCUGCGCAGUAUCAUUUUAUAUCAACAUAAGCAUGUAUCCAGAUGGCGGCCACACAAUAAAGGAGUACAUUAGUCACCCAAGCAGACAAACUGCGAUAUAUCCUAAGGACAGAAUGUAGAUCAGCAAACUCUUCCCGUGUCUUGUGCAAACUCUUGGCUGAUCAAUCUUGAAGAAUGCUUCAUCAUAACUGCAGGCAACACAUGACCUUUUCUAUCAAGAAAUUGUAUUCGCCAUAGAGUUGUGAAGCUAAUUUUUCAGGUUCAGUUUUAAAAAAUUGUUUAUUCUAAGAUAAAUUGAAAAUUAAAUGUCUUAAACAAGAAUAA